GCUAAAGGUCACAAGCAAGGACAAUGAACCUGGAAUUUGGAGGAAUUCAUACUCCAGUGAAGAAUUUCCAGACCCCUCAUGAAAAUAGCAGAUUGCCUACUCACCAGAGAAUACUCAAGAUGAAACUAAGCCGCCCCUGGAGAGUAAGCAAAUGAUUAGAAGGGUAGAUUUCAGGCAAGCAAACGGGUGAGAGCCCAGAAUCUCCAUGUGAAUGACCCUAAAAUUACAGCUAAUAUAGGAAGUGGCUUCCUUGUACCUCUAGAAAUUGAACUCUCAGAACCUGACUGACAGUCUGCUCUUAAGAACAUUAGCUCAAUCUGGAGAGAAAUGUGUGUUUCGAGCUGGCUAGAAAAGUUCUUCUUUUAUAUAGAUUUCAGACAGAAGCAGAAGGAGACUUAGAGGUUCUUCGUCAUAAGUUGCCAAAAUGAAACAGAACUAUGAAAAGAAAAUGGAGACACUUCUUCAGGAGGUGCCUGUGAUGUGAUUUACUUGAUAAUUAUGGCUUACAGGGUAUUGAGAUGGGAUUGUAUAACUGAAAUAUAAACUGGAUAUGAGUAGAGAUUUGAAAGGUUUUUCAAAAACGUUCAGCUUUACUUUUUUUUUUCCCUAAGGAACAAAUUGUUCACUCAUAGAGCUGAAAAGGAUAAAUGAAGUGUUCAGUUCAGAGAAGCAAAAUAUGAGUAGUUCACGUAUCUUUUGUAAAUGUUCUGUGUAUCACUGUAAACUAGACAUCUUCCACAUGUCCCUAUGUUUUUCCAUUUUGAAAUCAAUUUCUAGCUCAAACUUGUUAAUAGACAACGAAUAUUUGCAAAGUUAUAGCUUCACUGAAUUAGGAUGUAACCUGCAGCUCACAAUGAAAAUGCCAUUAGCUUGAGUUUAAAAUUUAUGUUGCUAUUUUUUUCUUUUGUCAAUAUUUUCCUUCUGUGGUACUUAUUGCACAAGGGUCUGGUAUCACAACUGAGGGAAACUGCAGAACAAUGGUUCUCGCUAUCAUUCAGACCCAUUUAAGCCACAGUCUUUGUUGGUUUUGCCAAAUGACUGAAUGCUUGGGUCUAUUAGGACUGUCAAAUAGUGUUGAGUACAUAUUUGUGGCAUAAGCAAGUUAAUAUUUAUAGGGAGCACUUUUGCAUGUCUUUUAAGUCACAUACUAAUUU
RNAcentral lists this long non-coding RNA (1154 nucleotides) under Pongo abelii (Sumatran orangutan). RNAcentral describes it as "lincRNA". The record is from RNAcentral. Lineage: Eukaryota; Metazoa; Chordata; Mammalia; Primates; Hominidae.